This 237-nucleotide long non-coding RNA is filed under the name Oryza brachyantha (malo sina). RNAcentral describes it as "long non-coding RNA (OBRA_LNC003174)". Lineage: Eukaryota; Viridiplantae; Streptophyta; Magnoliopsida; Poales; Poaceae. The record is from RNAcentral.
UCCUUGAUGAUAGACCCUCUCGUUUUUUCGCAUGUGCUAAUAUAUACAAGUCAAAAUUUAAAAUUUUAAGUAUAGAUUCAGAGUUGAUUUUGAGAAUUUUUACUGGACUUUAUUUUCUAGCCUUGAUACGUGCGUAAAAGUUUUAUUUAUAAAUUAUUUUUUAUCUGUAAAUAUGUUGCGGAAAACUAAACUAUAUCACCCACGUUUACACACUACCACACGACACAUGCGAAACGC